This 592-nucleotide long non-coding RNA is filed under the name Malus domestica (apple). RNAcentral's name for it is "long non-coding RNA (MDOM_LNC014983)". The record is from RNAcentral. Lineage: Eukaryota; Viridiplantae; Streptophyta; Magnoliopsida; Rosales; Rosaceae.
GCUCAGGUUCGUAUGUCCCAACUUAGUCGCCUGAAAAAGUUAGUGAAGGUGGUGGUACAGUUUCACGAUGUGGGUUCAACAGAGAGAGGGAAAGUUAGAGUGAGAGAGAGAAAACCGAAAAAGAUGAGAGGAGGAAAAAGUUUGAGGGAAGAGAUGAGCAAGAGAGACAAGAUGAGGUGGCAGCAAGGGAUAGGUCUCAAAGGUCUGAAAGAGGACACGGAAGCAAGGGAAGAGUGGGAAUGAGAGGACAUGGAGACAAAAAGGAGAGGAGACCCAUGUGGGUGGGUCCCACGGACAUAGAUAUCCCAUAAGAAAAUAAUAAAAUAGUAAGGGUGAAUAUUUGAAAUAAUGAAUUUACUAAAAUGCCAUUCUACUUUGUAAUGCCAUAAAAUCUUAUCGUAGCUUCAAAUUUGAUUCCAGUUGCGCCUAAGCAAUUGUACUGUCAAGUAUUUAGAGAAUAUGGUAAAAUAACAGCUCAUAUGCAUCACGGAAAGAUGGUCAGCAAAUGUCAUCAGUCUCGCUUCUAUGGGCAUUUUCAUUAAUUCACUCAUUUAAAAUUAAUAAAAUCAUAAAAUUAAGGAUGGGUUGUCAC